Molecule: long non-coding RNA, 1912 nt
Filed under: Capsicum annuum
Lineage: Eukaryota; Viridiplantae; Streptophyta; Magnoliopsida; Solanales; Solanaceae
Description: long non-coding RNA (CANN_LNC009012)
Source: RNAcentral
AAUUCUCUUCUUAUUUGUUUCGAACGAGAGGGUCAUUCUUUUGAUUCAGUAGAGAGAGAAAUUUUUAUUAUUUGUACGUACAAAGUUCGAUUGAAAUUCACUGAGUUCUGACGAGUCUGAUUGCUGAUUCAAAGAAGGUCAAGAUUUUUUAGUAAUGAAGAUGUUAGCGAUUUCGCUGGUUAUUGUUAUGUUCGUUGUACUACCUAAUGUUGUUGUCAUAGGCGAUAAGGUUGUUUACAGUGUUGAGCCACCGAAUCACGACAAAAGAGCCGGUCUGAGGCCCCCGCCACCCCCUAAGUCAUACCCUCCGAUCCAUUGGAAGCGAGAGAGAUUCAUCCCCGAAACGCCACCGCCACAGUCAUACUGAUUAGUGGCGUACACAAGAUUUUGUGCGAGUGAUAUCAACUCAUCGUCAUAAGUUUGAAUUGUAGUAAGGACUAAGCUUUACCCUCCUAUCGACUAGUGAUGGGUGAGGUUCGUCCCACCAAAGCCACCACCAACAUUAUGGUGUUUUUAGUUAUGUACACGAUAUUUUGUGCAAGUGAUGUCAGCUUUUCGUCAUAAUUUGACUUGUAAUAAGGUCCACUUGCAUGGAUACGGUUGGACUGCAGGCUCGUGACAGUUUCGACAGCUCCUCGUUCGUUUUGUUCUUUCGUUAUUGCUACUAUUUUUUUCUUCAUUAUUUUCGACAUGACUUCUUCACUGUAUUUUCUUUUCAAACUUAUUUUGAAAUGCUUUACUUGAGCCUUACUUGAGCCGAGGGUUUAACGGAAACAACCAAGAUAGAGAUAAGGUAUGCAUACGCACCAGUGUAUUCAGUAGUAGAGCCAGAAUUUUUACUAUGAGGGUUUCAAAGUAAAUAUACGAACUAGCCGAAGGGGGUUCAACGUCAACUAUAUAUUCAUAAAAAAUAAUUUUAACCAUGUAUAAAUGGUAUAAUUUUCCGUCGAAGGACGUUCGUCAAGGUGGCUCCGCCCCUGAGUGCACCCUCCUCAUAUCUCACUUAUGAGAUUAUACCGGAUAUAUUAUAACUUGAGCCGAGGGUCUAUCGGAAAUAAUCUCUCUGCGAUGUAAGAUAAAGUCUACAUACACACAAUCACACUACUGUACCCUCCUCAGAUUCCGCUUAUGACAUUACACCGAAUACGUUGUUGUUGUAUAUGAAUAAUUAUAUUGCUUCUUACGCGUAUUCUUGAAAAGCUUCUUUGUUCCUUUGUUCAAUUUGCAAACAAAUUGGUCCACUUUUUUUCCACACAAAAAUCUAAAAAUUUUCAAACUUUAUGCAUCAAUAUGUCAACAAGAAAAGUAUAAUAUAAUUAAUUUUCCCCUUGAGUGGAAAUUGAACCCCCCAUUGCUCUAUAUAUAUAUUUGCUUCACUUAUUCACUACUAUUUCACAAAAAUUAAAUUAAGAAAUUCUCUCUAUCUUCUUAUUUGUUUUGAACGAGUCAUUCUUUUGAUUCAGUAGAGCGUGAAAUUUCUAUUAUUUGUACGUACAAAGUUCAUUUCAAAUCCACUGAGUUCUGACGAAUUUGAUUACUGAUUCAGGAAGGCCAAGAUUUUUUUAGUAAUGAAGAUAAUAGCUAUUUCUUUGGUUAUUGUUAUGUUUGUUUUACUACCUAAUGUUGUUGUCAUAGGCAAUAAGGUUGUGGGUAGUGCUGAGCCACCGAGUCACGACAAAAGAGUCGGUCUGAGGCCCCCGCCACCCCUAAGUCAUACCCUCCCGUCCAUAUGAAGCAUGCAAGGUUCAUCCCCCAAACGCCACCGCCAGUAUCAUACUAAUUAGUUGCGUACAUGAGAUUUUGUGCAAGUGAUGUCAACUCAUCGUCAUAAGUUUGAAUUGUACUAAGGGCCAAGCCUCACCCUCCUAUCGACUAGUGGUGGGUGAGGUUCGUCCCACCAAAGCCACCACCA